RNAcentral lists this transfer RNA (73 nucleotides) under bacterium. Its description in RNAcentral is "tRNA-Val". It matches the Rfam family "tRNA". Rfam says of the family: Transfer RNA (tRNA) molecules are approximately 80 nucleotides in length. Their secondary structure includes four short double-helical elements and three loops (D, anti-codon, and T loops). The record is from RNAcentral.
GGGCGGUUAGCUCAGCUGGUAGAGCGUUGCAUUGACAUUGCAGAGGUCAGAGGUUCGAGCCCUCUAUCGCCCA